UACGGAGGGGGCAAGCGUUGUUCGGAAUUAUUGGGCGUAAAGCGUAUGUAGGCGGCUAGGUAAGUCAGGCGUGCAAGCCCGUGGCUCAACCACGGAAUUGCGUUUGAUACUGCUUAGCUUGAGUACAGGAGAGGAAAGCGGAAUUCCCAGUGUAGCGGUGAAAUGCAUUGAUAUUGGGAAGAACAUCUGUGGCGAAGGCAGCUUUCUGGACCAAUACUGACGCUGAGGUACGAAAGCGUGGGUAGCAAACAGG
RNAcentral lists this ribosomal RNA (253 nucleotides) under uncultured bacterium. RNAcentral describes it as "partial 16S ribosomal RNA". It matches the Rfam family "Bacterial small subunit ribosomal RNA", at positions 524 to 776 of the family's 1533-position model. The record is from RNAcentral.